GACGAACCGUGCAAACGUUAUUCGGAAUCACUGGGCAUAAAGGGCGCGUAGGCGGCUCGAAAAGUCAGGGGUGAAAUCCGGCAGCUUAACUGUCGCAGUGCCUUUGAUACUGUCGAGCUCGAGGGAGGUAGGGGUCUGUGGAACUUCCGGUGGAGCGGUGAAAUGCGUUGAUAUCGGAAGGAACGCCGGUGGCGAAAGCGACGGACUGGAUCUCUUCUGACGCUGAGGCGCGAAAGCCAGGGGAGCAAACGGGG
This 254-nucleotide ribosomal RNA is filed under the name uncultured bacterium. Its description in RNAcentral is "partial 16S ribosomal RNA". It matches the Rfam family "Bacterial small subunit ribosomal RNA", at positions 524 to 777 of the family's 1533-position model. The record is from RNAcentral.